AACCCUGCCUCUCCUAUGGCCGGAACACUGUCAUUGAAACUCAUAUACUAGCCCUGAGCUGCCAUGCCCAAGACCAUGGAUGACAGGGUGAGCGCAACUGGAAAGCCUUUUCAAGCCGCAUGGGUUUACAUUUUGGCGAGACUGUUUCAAUGCUGUGUCUGUGGCUCCCAGGCCCCAGAUCAAUGGCAUCGCGAUUCCUGUGUUCUUCAAGCUUCACAGUAGAUGGGGUAGAUAGAUCACGAGAUGACACGCAUUAGCUCUACUCCAGUGAGCUUGAAGCAUGUGUUCCCAGCUUGCAAAGAUUAUGGAAGGGAAUCCGCAUCUGAGGUUAGUCACAAAGCUCUUGACCAGGAUUAAGAGUUCAGGGAAUGCUCGCAGAAUUGUUUUCAUCCCUCUGAGUGAACUCGGAAGUCAACCAGCAGCCUGAUUCCAGCAAUAAUGAGCUAUAAGGAGCCUGUCCCAGCCCACCCAGAGAAGCAGGACCGUGGGGGAAAACAUACAUAUUCUGGCAAAUAAACAUCAAAGAGAGGAGGUUCUGAAUGGCCAUCCCUUCCCUCCCACUUGAAACUUCCUAGUCGUUCCGUCCCUUGAAGAGGGACCUUGCAGUGGUCAUUCUUUCCCACGAGCAGGGGAUCUCGAGGAAUAAGAGACUAUUCACAGGGAUUUUUACAAUCAACUAGCAAGUGAUUGUUUCUCACAGCAACUUUUAAAAUACUAAAGACCAUGACAUAACAGCCUCCGAAGCGGGGAAUCAUGGACACAGCACUAAAAGGAUGAUUCAUAAAAGAAAAAAAUAGGUAAGUUGAACUUCAUCAAAAUUUAAAAUGUUUACUUCAUGAAAAGCUUUGCUUGGAAAGUAAGAUAAACUGGAGCUUGGGAGAAAACGUUUGCAAGCAAUAUAUUCAAGUCAAUUCUCUAGCUGCUCAGAGCUAUAACUCAAUAGCACCGUGCUGACCUAAUAAAGACGAGGUCCUAGAUUUGAUUCCUAGCACCCCUCCACACACACACCUUGAAAUAUACUCAACAAAAGAUGAAUAGUAUCUAUAAUACAUAAACAAUCCUGCUGGCCAGGCAAGGUAGUAUAAACCGUCGAUUACAGCACU
Non-coding RNA from Myodes glareolus (Bank vole), 1103 nucleotides. The record is from RefSeq and is a predicted model, not a curated record. NCBI's taxonomy places the organism in Eukaryota, Metazoa, Chordata, Mammalia, Rodentia, Cricetidae.